Maylandia zebra (zebra mbuna) is the source of this 1233-nucleotide long non-coding RNA. RefSeq lists it as uncharacterized. The record is from RefSeq and is a predicted model, not a curated record. NCBI's taxonomy places the organism in Eukaryota, Metazoa, Chordata, Actinopteri, Cichliformes, Cichlidae.
UCUCACUGAUAAAUUAAGUAAAUAAGUAGCUGGAAAUUCACAGGAGGAAUCGAUGGCACUAAACAGGACAAUCACAGUGGUUGCAGGCUGUGUGAACCAGGCGUGUAGUUACAUUUCUAGGAAGGUGCACAUCAGGUUAAGCUGUACGUUAUGGUGUAGGAUUUUAUAGGGUUCUGGGUAUCUAUAGCCCUAGUAAGCCAUGCACAGCUGAAGCCGAAAGUCACUACAGAGGGGUGUACUACCAAGUAUGUUCAUAGCCAGGAUUACUUUGUGUAAGCUAGCUUCACAAAAGUUAAAGGUCCACUCAGAGAUAAUAGGUAUCACACUGGUGGGCAUUGACCAUCUUUGUUCAACCGGGCUUUGUGCUUCAGGUUCUCACAUAAAAAAGGUCAUUUGACACAUCAUUGGACUCCUCUUCAAAAUGGAUUGGCUGAAUCAAUCGGAGAUGUUAUCAGAGAAACGGAUAACAGGGACGUAAAUGUAACAAUAUGGUGGGGAAAAGAGGAUAUUAACACUUGCUGCUCUGUGUUUAUUUCUACCUUAUAGCUCCAACUCUAAAACUUUAAACUGGAUGCAGUGAAACAUUAAAGGUUUCUCACUAUGGUCAGUUAAAACACUGUCUCAAAGUCAUGUGGAGUCAUGUGUAUAAAGGGCAUUUGGAAAUCACCUUUUAAUCACUUUUUGUUGCCUGAUCAAAGAGACACUAAUUGUAUUGAAUGCACCUGUAACUUGUAAGUUCAAAACUGCAUGCCAGUAGCUGCAAGUCCAGCUGUGUAAAUGACAUUCAGCAGCAGAUAAGGACCAACCAUUCAGUCUGCUUGACCUAGAACUGAUUGUGCCACUCGUUUUUGUCAACAUUACUCAUGCAGUAAAAAUAAAGAUGGAGCACUCCCACACAGAAGGUCGGGGUAAAGCUGCGGCACAAGCAGGCACAGACCCCAACGAGGACACUGAGGAACACCAGUGCCAGAGACACCAAGGGCAGCAGAAACUGGCACCUCCACAAGUCUGCACAACAAUCAUUGCAGCUGACCACCGCCUUCUUCUUCGCCUGUUUUUUCUUCUUCGUUUGAUGGAAUGAGUUUGUGCAUUAUGGCCACCUUCUGCUUCGGAGGAGAGGUGUCGCGAAAUCUGAUGAUAAUCCCAGUGCCAGCCCAUUGACAAAAUCCUGGAAACACUCCGGCUGUGGGAGUUAAAGGUGCCACCAUAAACUCCAGAAUACCCAGUCUGAAU